GAUGAACGCUGGCGGCGUGCCUAAUACAUGCAAGUCGAGCGAACAGAUGAGAAGCUUGCUUCUCUGAUGUUAGCGGCGGACGGGUGAGUAACACGUGGGUAACCUACCUAUAAGACUGGGAUAACUCCGGGAAACCGGGGCUAAUACCGGAUAAUAUUUUGAACCGCAUGGUUCGAUAGUGAAAGACGGUUUCGGCUGUCACUUAUAGAUGGACCCGCGCCGUAUUAGCUAGUUGGUAAGGUAACGGCUUGCCAAGGCGACGAUACGUAGCCGACCUGGGAGGGUGAUCGGCCACACUGGAACUGAGAGACGGUCCAGACUCCUACGGGAGGCAGCAGUAGGGAAUCUUCCGCAAUGGGCGAAAGCCUGACGGAGCAACGCCGCGUGAGUGAUGAAGGUCUUCGGAUCGUAAAACUCUGUUGUUAGGGAAGAACAAAUUUGUUAGUAACUGAACAAGUCUUGACGGUACCUAACCAGAAAGCCACGGCUAACUACGUGCCAGCCGCCGCAGUAA
RNAcentral lists this ribosomal RNA (514 nucleotides) under uncultured bacterium. RNAcentral describes it as "partial 16S ribosomal RNA". It matches the Rfam family "Bacterial small subunit ribosomal RNA", at positions 28 to 523 of the family's 1533-position model. The record is from RNAcentral.